This 170-nucleotide ribosomal RNA is filed under the name uncultured bacterium. RNAcentral's name for it is "partial 16S ribosomal RNA". It matches the Rfam family "Bacterial small subunit ribosomal RNA", at positions 340 to 507 of the family's 1533-position model. The record is from RNAcentral.
UACGGGAGGCAGCAGUGAGGAAUAUUGGACAAUGGGCGCAAGCCUGAUCCAGCCAUGCCGCGUGCAGGAUGACGGUCCUAUGGAUUGUAAACUGCUUUUGCACUGGAAGAAACAACGCUACGUGUAGCGUCUUGACGGUACUGUGAGAAUAAGGAUCGGCUAACUCCGUG